UACGUAGGGGGCGAGCGUUAUCCGGAUUUACUGGGUGUAAAGGGAGCGUAGACGGCCAUGCAAGCUCGGUGUGAAAGGUGCGGGCACAACCCGCAGACUGCACUGAGAACUGUAUGGCUGGAGUGCCGGAGGGGCAGGUGGAAUUCCUGGUGUAGCGGUGAAAUGCGUAGAUAUCAGGAGGAACACCGGUGGCGAAGGCGGCCUGCUGGACGGCGACUGACGUUGAGGCUCGAAAGCGUGGGGAGCGAACAGG
This 253-nucleotide ribosomal RNA is filed under the name uncultured bacterium. Its description in RNAcentral is "partial 16S ribosomal RNA". It matches the Rfam family "Bacterial small subunit ribosomal RNA", at positions 524 to 776 of the family's 1533-position model. The record is from RNAcentral.